GGUUGUGAGUAUGACCCUGAUGUGACAUUUGUUAGCCUAUUGAUUGCCAGGGUCUAGUCAGCUGAUCUGCUAGAGAGAUAGGUGCCCUUUCUCUCCCUCACUGCUUCAUAGGCAUGGCUCCUGAAGCUCCUUGAUUGAUUGGUUGAAGAGGACAGCAAGACCUCCUCAAUAGAGGGGUCCUUUCUUCAAUCCAAAGUAUAGUACCAGCUGUUCUCAUCUGGAAGAAACCCCAAAGAUGCUCUCAAAGAGAUGGGAGCAUGAAUCCCAGGGCAGAAACCCCAAGCCCUCAGACCCAUUUUGGGGAAGAGUUAUUUUA
Molecule: small nuclear RNA, 316 nt
Filed under: Cricetulus griseus (Chinese hamster)
Lineage: Eukaryota; Metazoa; Chordata; Mammalia; Rodentia; Cricetidae
Description: 7SK RNA (ENSCGRG00001001841.1)
Rfam family: 7SK RNA
About the family: 7SK was discovered as an abundant small nuclear RNA in the mid-70s but a possible function has only recently been suggested. Two independent studies have found that 7SK RNA binds the CDK9/cyclin T complex (known as elongation factor P-TEFb).
Source: RNAcentral